AGUGAACGCUGGCGGCGUGCUUAACACAUGCAAGUCGAACGAGAACGGGUUAUAGCUUGCUAUAAUUGUCAGCUAAGUGGCGCACGGGUGAGUAAUGUAUAGGUAAUAUGCCUCUUACUAAGGGAUAACAAAUGGAAACGUUUGCUAAUACCUUAUACUCCUUAUUAACAGAAGUUAUUAAGGGAAAGAUUUAUUGGUAAGAGAUUAGCCUGUAUUGUAUCAGUUAGUUGGUGGGGUAAUGGCUUACCAAGACUAUGACACAUAACUGGUUUGAGAGGAUGAUCAGUCACACUUGAACUGAGACACGGUCCAGACUCCUACGGGAGGUAGCAGUGGGGAAUAUUGCACAAUGGACGAAAGUCUGAUGCAGCAACGCCGCGUGGAGGAUGACACAUUUCGGUGCGUAAACUCCUUUUAUAUGAGAAGAUAAUGACGGUAUUAUAUGAAUAAGCACCGGCUAACUCCGUGCCAGCCGCCGCCGUAA
Molecule: ribosomal RNA, 484 nt
Filed under: uncultured bacterium
Lineage: Bacteria
Description: partial 16S ribosomal RNA
Rfam family: Bacterial small subunit ribosomal RNA
Source: RNAcentral